GCUUUAAAAGAAAACCUGGAGUAAAGAUGAGAAAAUGCUUUGUGUGGAACAUUAAACAUAAAACAGAGAAAAAAAUCAAACAGGAUGUUCUGUGGUAACAAACGAAACACAGUUAUUUUUCAAGGAACAUGAAUUAACUACUCCAUGGCAAGUUGUACUUUCUUGGUGAAUUAUGUUGCUCUCUAAGAACAGGGUUGGAAAGAACUGAUUAAAUACCAUCGAAACCAAAAUUAG
This is a non-coding RNA of Tupaia belangeri (northern tree shrew), 234 nucleotides long. The record is from Rfam. Lineage: Eukaryota; Metazoa; Chordata; Mammalia; Scandentia; Tupaiidae.